ACAAGCGAGGGAGAAUUGACUGUGACAUCUGUCUCCCUAUCAUGUGCCAGGAUGGCUCAGCUGAUGUGGCUCCAUGGUGUCUCCUUUCUCCUACACUAAUUCAGGGGCCUCUGUUCUAAAGCAGUGUUCUCAGUUGAUAAGGAUGAGUUUUGCUCAUAGAGGAGGAUGGUCACAGGUGAGGGCAUGAGAACAGUUAUACUCUACCAUUAAAACCUCCAUGCAUUCUCUAGAGAUGUUCUCAUGUUUACUGCAUGCCUGUUCCUACUUCCAUGUUCCCUACUU
This is a non-coding RNA of Mesocricetus auratus (golden hamster), 282 nucleotides long. The record is from Rfam. NCBI's taxonomy places the organism in Eukaryota, Metazoa, Chordata, Mammalia, Rodentia, Cricetidae.